UCUGGGCAAUUUACCUAACCUUUUACCCUUCUGAAACUGGAGAUGAUCAUAGAACCUGUCUCAUAGGGUGCUUGUGAAGGUUAAAUGGGUCAAUAAAGAAAAAUACGAGGAGUCAGCACUCAGUAAUACCAGCUAUUAUUAUGAGUGCAGGUGGCAAGUGCUCAAGAUAGCCGUGGCAGUGGCAGCCGAGUAGGGGUCCUAACCCAGCCUGGGAGCCCCAGGGGUGGCUUCCUACCGGAGGCCAUGCUGAUGGAAUCUUAGGAAGUAGCAGUUAGCCAAGGGAAGAGGGAACAGCAGCAGCAAAGGCACAGAGGUGAAAAAUAGCAGGGGUGGGGGUGAGGAGGGGUUGUCGGGGAGACUUACAAAGCCCCUCAGUGUUCCUGGAGAGUGUAGAAAAGCUUGGCUUUUGGUCAGAGGGCACGGAGACAGGAGCCACUGAAGGGUUUUGAACAGAGGCAUGACCCGUCCCUUGUUUUCCUAGAGACCACUGCAGCUGCCAUAUAUGCAGUGGCUUGGAGGGGCCCGUGGUCCUUUUAGGAGACGGUGAGGCUUCAACAAGGGGAGAUACAACGUCAGGGAAGAUGGGGACAGAUUCAUGGCUAUUAAGGAAGUAGACAUGGCAGGAUGGUGACCUGUGGGCUGGAAGUGGCUGGAAAGGGCAGAGUCAAGGACCGACAUGGGCACUUGGGUGGCUGGCUUGAGCACUGAGAGUGUGGCAGGGCCAGAAGAGGGGCAGGUCUGGGGGGGGGGGGAGGUGCUACCCAGCUUGAGAACACUUGAGUUUGGAGCUGAGAGACAGAGACCUGGGCUGGAGAGACCAUCAUGGGGACAUCAGUGCCUGGAUGGUAACAAAUCCUGCCAGGGUCUGAGAGCUGCCCCAGCAUCAGCAGAGGGUGGGGGCCCCUCACCAGGCCAGAGAAGAGGAUUUAUGCUUUGCGAUUGGAUUCUAAGCUUCAUUUUCCUGGAACCAAGUAGAAUUUGUCCGGACUUCUGACCCAAAUUGCUCCGGACAAGUGGGGACCACACCGCCUGCUGUAACCUCGUAAGGCUGGAGAAGUCUGAAGCCAGAAAGGGCCUGAGCAUCUUCUGCGAGGAAUCCGUCCAGCCCGCCAGAGACAACCUGCAGUCAGUCCCCCACUCCCUUGAGUGUUAAGUGUUCACCCUAAGUGCAAGGUGGGGACAUGUGAGUGUAGGUGGAACAGACCCCAGGAGACCUGGGUCCAAGGACACACCAACAUGGGGGACUUUGUUCAGCCUUAGAGCUCCCAUAAUCUCCUCCAGACCCCCAGGGCCACCCCCAAGGAAACAGCUUGAGGGAGAACCGCGUGGUGCUCGCUGGCUUCAGGACAAAGCUAUACCACCACCCCUGUUCCGGCCCCCUCUCAACCAGCGGGUUCACAAGAUGGGGAUGUCCCAGCAGGCUCUUCCAGUGCUAGGACAGGGCCUUCCCCAGGCCCACUUCUGGUCUCAUCUGAAUGAUUUGGUGUAAGGAACAGGGGAUGGUUCCUUCUCGGAUAGGUAAUCCAGGGUUCUAGAGGAUGAGACGACAGUGCUGUGAGCCUCCAGAAAUGAAUUCCUGCCUCUGGACAGGAAUCUGAAGAUACAUCAGGCUCUCUCACUCUGCCUCCUUCUGGGCUCUUCUCUGUCCCCUCUCCUGCUUCCUUCCUUCUCCUGCUCUCUGUCUCUCCCAGCCCCUGCUGAACUAGCUUCCCAGGCCUAUCAAUCAGGCCUGAUCUGACCUCAAGACCAAAGAGCCAAGAAGAGGAGGGAGGCAGGGAAGAAGAAAGGAGGGAAGAGGACAAUUCACCUGCCCGGAGACCUGCUCCAGACUCUUGGAGCUAAAAAGGUCGCAGAAAGCCUAACCAACUUCCUCUGCUCCACGCCACCUGCUUUGCUGAACUGUGUUUCAACAUCACCAUCAGCUGAUUACCUCUACCUUCAGAGCUUGUACACCUCCAGACAUAGGGAGCUCACUAUCUUGAGAAAGUUCUUCAGCUAAACAUGAAGAUUCUAUAAGUAAUACAGCGGCUCUUGUCUUUCUCUGUGUCACUGCUCAUCUAGUCAUUCAUUCAUUUAUAUUUUCAUUCAUUCAAUACUACUUAUUGAGCCUCCACUAAAUGAAGCAGAAAACUCAUGGCCCAGCAUUGGAGCAAAAUCAUAACUCUAAAGGGACUGUGCUAGGAGUUGGGGUUACAGCCACGAAGAGUGCAGUCACAGGCUUGUGCAGCCAUGGUCCUGACCUUGUGGAGCUUAUGGUCUAGUAGGGGAAGGGGAGAAGCCACUGAUGAGUGGGAAUCAGCGCUCUGAAGAAAAAUCUGGAUUUUCUCUUCUAAGCAAUGGGAGACACUGAUGGACAUUGAUAGCUGAAACUUUUUAAUGUGUUUUUUUUUUUUUUAAUUGUGGGAUAGCUUACAAAUAGUAGAUUGCCCAGAUCUUAAGUGUAUUGCUUAAUGAAUUAUAACCACCACUCAGAUCAAGACUCAAAACAUUUCCAGGGCCCGGAAGGCUCUUUCAUGCCCCCACCCAGCCGUACCCCCGCAUAAAGUAACCGCUAUGUUGAUUUUUAUCACCAUGUAUUCAUUUUGCCUGUUUUUGAAUGCCAUAUAAAUAGAAUCUUAUAGUA
This is a long non-coding RNA of Felis catus (domestic cat), 2623 nucleotides long. RefSeq lists it as uncharacterized. The record is from RefSeq and is a predicted model, not a curated record. The transcript is spliced from 5 exons. Lineage: Eukaryota; Metazoa; Chordata; Mammalia; Carnivora; Felidae.